GCCAUAGCUCAGUAGGUAGAGCACAUGUUUUGCAUGCACAAAGCUGCAGGUUCAAUCCCCAGCAUCUCCA
Podarcis lilfordi (Lilford's wall lizard) is the source of this 70-nucleotide non-coding RNA. The record is from the annotation of a GenBank genome assembly. Lineage: Eukaryota; Metazoa; Chordata; Lepidosauria; Squamata; Lacertidae.